GGCCUGAACCACACUGGAUCAAGAGCACUGGCCCGGGAGUCAAGAAACCUGAGUCCCAGGGCCAGCCCCUGGGCAAAUCACCUCCUCCAUGACCCUCAGUGCCCCAUCGGAACCAGAAAGAGGCAGAGCAGAUGACCUCAGACUCCUGCAGGCAGACCGUGCCCUUCUCAUCAGACACCAGCACCUCCUGGUACACUGCUCCGUACACAGUAGGAGCCAGCAGCUAAGAGCACGUGUGCUUUGGAAACAGACAUGAAUUCAAACCUCAGCUCUGUCUUAGUUGCUGAGGAACCAUGGGAAGUCACUUCUGAAUCUCAGUUGCCUCAUCUCUAACAUUAAUAUUCCCUUCACUAAACCGAAUGGCUGUGGAUUAAAUGAGGCAAAGUUCAGCUCUUGGCAUUAAAAAGAAACUUCCAUACUGUGCAUCUGAACUCUCCAUAAAUGCCCAUCAACUCUAAAGAAAAUUAUAACUGUAAGGAGAAUCUAGUCAUAACACCGUCUGCUGGGAAAGCUUUGUAACUUAGACCGGGGCCUGCCUGCACUCACAGCACACAACGGACCUAACAGCGAAGGUCACAGUCCCAGAUGGGGCCACCUACUUCAUCCUCCAGAACGCAACGGCCUCCCGCCCCUCACCUCUCCUCGGGGGUCUGGCUGUGCUCUUCAGGGCACUCUGUGGGAGACUUCGCAGACCCCUCCUGGGACCAUUCCCUGGAGAGGGUCCCACCAUCCUCAUCCACAGGACCAGUAGCCACACCAUAGGUCCUAGGGCCGUAUUUUGAGCUACCAUCGUGGUUAAAGGUGAGGCGGGAGCCCCAGAGGCGGUCAGAGCUGGUGGGGACCUCCUUCCGCGGCUGCUCCAUCUUGGCCAGAAUCUCUUCCACUGUGGUGGCUGCAAAGCGCUCAGAGGCUGGACGGAAGGGGGCAGGGGCCUUCCGCACACCCCCUGGGGCAGCACAUCGAGCUGGGGGUGUCAAUGGAGGCAUCUCUUCUUUCCCAGCCUCCUCUUUCCCAGCCUCUUGGGUGGCUUCUCCUCCAGUAGACGUCUCGGCCGGCGGUCUUGGUGCAAAGGGAAGGGGACGCCUGGUGCCACCGUAGGGCUGGGGUCCUGCCAGCAUGUUCAUCUUCCGGGCAGAAGGCAGCUCAGCCAGAGGACCCCGGGGUGGCCGCGGCCCAACAGACACCAGCAGGCUGGGCUUGGCAGGCAGGGCUGGCUUGGCAGGCAGGGCCCGGGGUUUGGGCUUGACAGGAGGUUUGGCCCGAGGGUCACCUACCAAAAGGAAAGGGUUGGUUGGGGAGGCUGUCAGAAGAACCAGGAUGUAGACUUCUUCAUCUCCUCCCUAUUAACUCAAGAUGUUUGCAGCCUUCAAGGCACAAGCCAAAUGUCACCUCUUCCAUGAAGCCUUCCUUGGUUUACCAUACCUAUCCCAGAAGCACCUUCUGUCUCCAAAUUCUCAAAAUGUUUAUUCAAUCCCUCCUGUACGCUAAAGCUAUUUAAGGGUCCAGCUGACACCUUAUUUGUCCCUGUACCCUACUCUGCAUCUAACACGUUAUUACUAAAUGAAUGAAUGAAUGAAUGAACAAAUGAGCCGAUAAACGGAUGCUACCUACCCAUAAUCGAGCCCGCAGCCCAACAUUUCUCCAAUCUAGUCCUGUCCUCUUACAUGACACUACCAUCCUGCCGUCCACAGCAAACCUUUUAUCCCAGCUGAGCCUCCCUACUCUGCCUCCUGGCUGUCCCUCCCCCAGGACACACCCAGGCCACCUCCCCAGGUGUGUGAUGAGGAAUGCAAACUUAUUAUUGACCUAACCCACACAGAAGUAAAUCUGCUGCAGGAAAAGAAAACAAGAUUAGGAACCUACCUUCUAUAUAAGGCAUUCCAAAGCCAAAUAAAAGACCUUGGGAUUACUCAUUGCCGUGGCCCUCCUAACAGAAACCUCUAUCAUCCACUCAUUCGGCUCAGCCUAAGAAAGGAGUCUAGACAGGAGCCAGGAGGCCUGGGUUCAAAUCCCUAUAGGUACACGUCACUUCUCAUCGAGGCCCCCGCCUCCUCCUCGAAAAAUACUCGCAUUACCCACAUCAUUUUGAAGGUUAGCUUGUUCUUAUCUGCUGUAGAUCUAAGACCUCUAACUGUUCUAAAGGGUCUUACCAGGAACUGAGAACCUUCCCAACUCAUCCUGCACUCCUCCCUCCCACCUCAACAGAAUCAUCACUCCCCCCGC
Long non-coding RNA from Myotis myotis, 2223 nucleotides. RefSeq lists it as uncharacterized. The transcript has 2 exons. NCBI's taxonomy places the organism in Eukaryota, Metazoa, Chordata, Mammalia, Chiroptera, Vespertilionidae. The record is from RefSeq and is a predicted model, not a curated record.